RNAcentral lists this ribosomal RNA (521 nucleotides) under uncultured bacterium. RNAcentral describes it as "bacterial SSU rRNA". It matches the Rfam family "Bacterial small subunit ribosomal RNA", at positions 791 to 1310 of the family's 1533-position model. The record is from RNAcentral.
UAGUCCAUGCCGUAAACGGUGGGCACUAGAUGUGGGGACUUUCAACGGUCUCCGUGUCGUAGCUAACGCAUUAAGUGCCCCGCCUGGGGAGUACGGUCGCAAGACUAAAACUCAAAGGAAUUGUCGGGGGCCCGCACAAGCGGCGGAGCAUGUUGCUUAAUUCGAGGCAACGCGAAGAACCUUACCUGGGUUUGACAUAUAUUGGAUCGCCAUAGAGAUAUGGUUUCUUUUAGUCGGUAUACAGGUGGUGCAUGGCUGUCGUCAGCUCGUGUCGUGAGAUGUUGGGUUAAGUCCCGCAACGAGCGCAACCCUCGUCCUGUGUUGCCAGCAUUUAGUUGGGGACUCACAGGAGACUGCCGUGGUUAACACGGAGGAAGGUGGGGAUGAGGUCAAGUCAUCAUGCCCCUUACACCCAGGGCCUGGCAAACAUGCUACAAUGGCCGGUACAACGGGCUAGCUAUACCGCGAGGUAAAGCGAAAUCCCCUUAAAGCCGGUACUCAGUUCGGAUAGGAGUCUGCAA